This 428-nucleotide ribosomal RNA is filed under the name uncultured prokaryote. RNAcentral describes it as "bacterial SSU rRNA". It matches the Rfam family "Bacterial small subunit ribosomal RNA", at positions 355 to 774 of the family's 1533-position model. The record is from RNAcentral.
UGAGGAAUUUUGCGCAAUGGGAGCAAUCCUGACGCAGCAACGCCGCGUGGGUGAUGAAGGCCUUCGGGUCGUAAAGCCCUGUCAGGUGGGAAGAAUGUCCCGGAAUUGAACAGGUUUCGGGAGUGACGGUACCACCAGAGGAAGCACCGGCUAACUCCGUGCCAGCAGCCGCGGUAAUACGGAGGGUGCAAGCGUUAUGCGGAAUUACUGGGCGUAAAGCGCGUGUAGGCGGUCCUGCAAGUCUGAUGUGAAAGCCCCGGGCUUAACCCGGGAAGUGCAUUGGAAACUGCAGGACUAGAGUACUGGAGAGGAUGGGAGAAUUCCCGGUGUAGAGGUGAAAUGCGUAGAGAUCGGGAGGAAUAUCAGUGGCGAAGGCGCCCAUCUGGACGGUAACUGACGCUGAGACGCGAAAGCGUGGGGAGCAAACA